RNAcentral lists this ribosomal RNA (496 nucleotides) under uncultured bacterium. Its description in RNAcentral is "partial 16S ribosomal RNA". It matches the Rfam family "Bacterial small subunit ribosomal RNA", at positions 28 to 507 of the family's 1533-position model. The record is from RNAcentral.
GAUGAACGCUGGCGGCGUGCCUAAUACAUGCAAGUCGAGCGAACAGACGAGGAGCUUGCUCCUCUGACGUUAGCGGCGGACGGGUGAGUAACACGUGGAUAACCUACCUAUAAGACUGGGAUAACUUCGGGAAACCGGAGCUAAUACCGGAUAACAUGUUGAACCGCAUGGUUCAACAGUGAAGGACGGUCUUGCUGUCACUUAUAGAUGGAUCCGCGCCGCAUUAGCUAGUUGGUAAGGUAACGGCUUACCAAGGCAACGAUGCGUAGCCGACCUGAGAGGGUGAUCGGCCACACUGGAACUGAGACACGGUCCAGACUCCUACGGGAGGCAGCAGUAGGGAAUCUUCCGCAAUGGGCGAAAUCCGACGGAGCAACGCCGCGUGAGUGAAGAAGGUCUUCGGAUCGUAAAACUCUGUUAUUAGGGAAGAACAAAUGUGUAAGUAACUAUGCACGUCUUGACGGUACCUAAUCAGAAAGCCACGGCUAACUACGUG